UACGAGGGGGGCGAGCGUUGUUCGGAAUUAUUGGGCGUAAAGGGCGCGUAGGCGGUUGGAUAAGCCUUGUGUGAAAUCUUCGGGCUCAACUCGAAGUCUGCACGAGAAACUAUCUGGCUUGGGUGUGGGAGAGGUGAGUGGAAUUCCUGGUGUAGCGGUGAAAUGCGUAGAUAUCAGGAGGAACACCUGUGGCGAAAGCGGCUCACUGGACCACAACUGACGCUGAGGCGCGAAAGCUAGGGGAGCAAACAGG
Molecule: ribosomal RNA, 253 nt
Filed under: uncultured bacterium
Lineage: Bacteria
Description: partial 16S ribosomal RNA
Rfam family: Bacterial small subunit ribosomal RNA
Source: RNAcentral